CCCUUAGAUGUUCUGGGCCGCACGCGUGCUACACUGAGUGGAUCAGCGGGUCAGGUUGCGCGAAAGUGUUUCCUAAUCUUGAAAUCCGCUCGUGAUGGGGAUUGACGGUUGCAAUUUUCCGUCAUGAACGAGGAAUACCUUGUAAGCGCGGGUCAUCAUCCCGCGCUGAAUACGUCCCUGCCCUUUGUACACGCCGCCCGUCGCUCCUACCGAUUGAGUGGUCCGGUGAGGCUUUGGGAUCUGAGCAAAGAGAGCGUUUCGCUCGUUUUGCCCGGAAAACUCAGUCGAACCUUAUCAUUUAGAGGAAGGAGAAGUCGUAACA
This 322-nucleotide ribosomal RNA is filed under the name uncultured eukaryote. RNAcentral's name for it is "partial 18S ribosomal RNA". It matches the Rfam family "Eukaryotic small subunit ribosomal RNA", at positions 1470 to 1796 of the family's 1831-position model. The record is from RNAcentral.